AUCUUUCCCGAGUCCACUCUUUUUCGUUGGCACACGACCUCUCGAGUCUCGACGUUGCUAGACCAUAAAUUUUGGUGGUUUGACUACGGUUUCGGCUAGGAUCAUGAGCGAUUCUGGUCCCUUCUUGCCCUUGUAACCGCUGAUGGUGAUCAUCGAAGAUGGUGGUAAGAUUGAAUGAUCGAUCCCGAUAUCGAUCUUGUAGACCGUGUGCUUUUGCUUCGUUUUCAAUUGAUGUUCUAGAUAAUAAUACAUCAGGAGAAGUCCAUCACUAUAUGACAAAUUGGAAGGUAUACAGAAUUUUCCAAUGACUGAAAAAUCGAUAAUAUUUUCAAAAUUUCCACGAUAUUUCCGUUUUUUUAAGGUCUCGAUAUAUCUUUGACUUACCAAGAGAAUAUCGGGAGAAAUUUUCGAAAUUUCUGGAAAUAUUCGAAAUUUUCCCGAUAUUUCUGGAAAUAUUAGAAAUUUUGGCGAAAUUCCUGAUAUUCUCCCAAAAUUUCGAGAUUAUCGUCACCUCUCGCGAUAUGUGGCUCGUGAAAACUAGUUUUUGUCCUUAUCCAAUCCGACGUCAUCUAAAGAUAAAAACUUUAAAAAUUUAUAGGGUCAUGUAUCGCUCUUUGAGUCUUUUCCCUCCAUGCUUAUAAUUCUUCUAAUUAUCUAAUAACUAGUAAACAUUUGGCUCUAUUAGAAGAAAAAAAAAAAAACUUUUCUAUGUAUUUGAAGACUAAUGUUUUUUUCAACAUAUAUAUAUUUAAUUGUAAAAUAUUAUUAUAAUUAAUAAUUAACUCUCCUAAUCUCCAAUUUAAAUCAUUUUUUUGAUUUCUCAUGUAGAAUCUCAUACCUUUGUCAUGUCAGUGUAUCUUGUUAUACUCCAAAUUACUAUAAUAAUUAUACAAUUAAGUUUAUCAAACACUUUUUUUUGAAAUACUAUAGGUAAUUGAUCAUGUAAACAUUUCAUGAAAAUUCAUUAAUGAUUUCCAUGGUACUUUCUAAAUUUCCAUCAUUUUUUUCAAAAAUUUACUUGGAUCGAAAUUUUCUCGAUAUUUUCGUCGAAAUUUCUAUUUUUUGGACUAUCGACAUUUCCUCGAUAUGUUAGUCAUUGGAAUUUUCUAGGGCAGUUCCUACUAGACCUGCACAGGACUUGGCAUUUUCAGUUGCAAGGUUUAUACAAAAUGGUGGUUCUUUUGCCAACUACUACAUGUACCAUGGCGGAACGAAUUUUGGCCGAACUGCUGGCGGCCCCUUCAUUGCAACUAGCUAUGACUAUGGUGCACCUCUAGGUGAAUAUCGUAUGCAAAUAGGGGAUUAGCAUCUUGACUGGGUUCUUUGUAAAUUUUGGCUCAUAACCCUUGCUUUACACAUUUAACAUUUUCCUAAUGUUGAAUGUUAAACAUUUCCCUAAUGUUAAAUGUGUAAAGUAAGGCCCCGUUUGGUUGGCCGGAAUGUCGAAACAGGAAAAUGAUUUAUUUUCCUUUCCAAACUGAUAUGGAAUGGAAUAGGUUUUGGAAUUUCCAUGUGGGUGUUUGGAACAUAUUGGAAAUUAAAUUCUGGAAUUAAUUUUUCCAUUCCUAUCGUAGUGUUUGGUAAGUCAUAAGAAUGAAAUAGA
Molecule: RNA transcript, 1603 nt
Organism: Rosa rugosa (rugosa rose)
Lineage: Eukaryota; Viridiplantae; Streptophyta; Magnoliopsida; Rosales; Rosaceae
Gene name: beta-galactosidase-like
Exons: 4
Source: RefSeq, a predicted model, not a curated record